Amblyraja radiata (thorny skate) is the source of this 202-nucleotide long non-coding RNA. RefSeq lists it as uncharacterized. The record is from RefSeq and is a predicted model, not a curated record. The transcript is spliced from 3 exons. NCBI's taxonomy places the organism in Eukaryota, Metazoa, Chordata, Chondrichthyes, Rajiformes, Rajidae.
CACGAGGGGCAAUUUACAAUUUUUACCGAAGCCAAUUAAUCUACAAACCUGUACGUCUUUGGAAUGUGGGAGGAUACGAGGGAGCCCAGGGAAAACUCACGCGGCCACAGAGAAAUGGUACAAACUCCGUACAGACAGAACCCAUAGUCAGGAUCAAACCCGGGUCUCUGGCGCUCCAAAACAGCAACUCUACCGCUGCGCC